GAAACGCUGGCGGCGUGGAUUAGGCAUGCAAGUCGGACGGUAGGCUUUAUCGUAAGAUAGAGUUUGAGAGUGGCGAACGGGUGAGUAACACGUAGGAAUCUACCCUUAAGACGGGGACAACCCAGGGAAACUUGGGCUAAUACCGGAUGAGAGUGCGAGAGAUUGCAUUUAAAAGGAUGGCGAAAGUUAUCGCUUAGGGAUGAGCCUGCGGUCUAUUAGUUAGUUGGUGGGGUAAGAGCUCACCAAGGCGAUGAUAGAUAGGCGGCCUUAACGGGUGGUCGCCCACACUGGGAUUGAGAUACGGCCCAGACUCCUACGGGAGGCAGCAGUCGAGAAUAGUCUACAAUGGUCGGAAGACUGAUAGUGCGACGCCGCGUGAACGAUGAAUCCCUUCGGGGUGUAAAGUUCUUUUAUAUGUGAGCAGUGCUUCUUAUAUUAACAGUAUGGGGAGAGAGAUAUUAGCAUAUGAAUAAGCAACGGCUAACUCCGUG
This 491-nucleotide ribosomal RNA is filed under the name uncultured bacterium. RNAcentral describes it as "bacterial SSU rRNA". It matches the Rfam family "Bacterial small subunit ribosomal RNA", at positions 32 to 507 of the family's 1533-position model. The record is from RNAcentral.